ACGGGUGAGUAAUACCUAGGAAUCUGCCUGAUAGUGGGGGAUAACGUUCGGAAACGGACGCUAAUACCGCAUACGUCCUACGGGAGAAAGCAGGGGACCUUCGGGCCUUGCGCUAUCAGAUGAGCCUAGGUCGGAUUAGCUAGUUGGUGAGGUAAUGGCUCACCAAGGCUACGAUCCGUAACUGGUCUGAGAGGAUGAUCAGUCACACUGGAACUGAGACACGGUCCAGACUCCUACGGGAGGCAGCAGUGGGGAAUAUUGGACAAUGGGCGAAAGCCUGAUCCAGCCAUGCCGCGUGUGUGAAGAAGGUCUUCGGAUUGUAAAGCACUUUAAGUUGGGAGGAAGGGCAGUAAAUUAAUACUUUGCUGCUUUGACGUUACCGACAGAAUAAGCACCGGCUAACUCUGUGCCAGCAGCCGCGGUAAUACAGAGGGUGCAAGCGUUAAUCGGAAUUACUGGGCGUAAAGCGCGCGUAGGUGGUUUGUUAAGUUGAAUGUGAAAUCCCCGGGCUCAACCUGGGAACUGCAUCCAAAACUGGCAAGCUAGAGUAUGGUAGAGGGUAGUGGAAUUUCCUGUGUAGCGGUGA
This 586-nucleotide ribosomal RNA is filed under the name uncultured Pseudomonas sp. RNAcentral describes it as "bacterial SSU rRNA". It matches the Rfam family "Bacterial small subunit ribosomal RNA", at positions 102 to 684 of the family's 1533-position model. The record is from RNAcentral. Lineage: Bacteria; Pseudomonadati; Pseudomonadota; Gammaproteobacteria; Pseudomonadales; Pseudomonadaceae.